Long non-coding RNA from Choloepus didactylus (southern two-toed sloth), 477 nucleotides. RefSeq lists it as uncharacterized. The transcript is spliced from 3 exons. NCBI's taxonomy places the organism in Eukaryota, Metazoa, Chordata, Mammalia, Pilosa, Megalonychidae. The record is from RefSeq and is a predicted model, not a curated record.
UUUUCUUUUUAUUGUCUUGAACUUCCUAGAAACAUGAGUGGAUUUGAGGCAAGUAACUCAAUGGAGAUCACCAUGGAUUCCUUCUAUUCAUAUUUCCUUUGAAUUAAAAACAACUGAUUUAUCUAUUUCACCCAGAAUGAAAGCUACAUUUGGGACCCAGAAUUGUCCUGAUACAUUGUUCCCCAUGAUUAAUAUGCAUUCAUUCAACAACUGAAUCAAUGGAUCAAUGGAGAUGUCAAUGUAUUGAAGUGGUUUCUAUCAGUCCUCAGAACGAAGAUCGAAGCUGAGAUGAAAAACUCAACACUAGGCAGCUGUCAGUGGCUUUGGAGACUCGAUUCUCUCUCCUCUCCCAAGGACAAUGAGCUAUGCCUUUGAAUUGAGCAGAUGACAAGUUGUGAUCACUGAAUUUUAAGGACUGGAUAUCUAAAGAAAAAGGUGGGAGAGGGGAUUAUGAUAUUACAAAAUAUGCUGAAUUUU